CCUACGGGUGGCAGCAGUGGGGGAUAUUGCACAAUGGAGGGAACUCUGAUGCAGCGACGCCGCGUGAGGGAAGAAGGUUUUCGGAUUGUAAACCUCUGUCUUCGGUGACGAAACGAGACGGUAGACGAGGAGGAUGCCACGGCAAACUACGUGCCAGCAGCCGCGGUAAUACGUAGGUGGCAAGGGUUGUCCGGAAUUACUGGGUUAAAAGGGUGCGUAGGCGGAUCGUAAAGUAAGUGGUCAAAUUGAGGGGCUCAACCCCUUACCGCCAUUGAAACUGGCGCUCUUGAGUGGAAGAGAAGUAAGCGGAAUGCGUGGUGUAGCGGUGAAAUGCAUAGAUAUCACGCAGAACCCCAGUUGCGAAGGCAGCAUGCCGGCUUCCGACUGACGCUGAGGCACGAAAGCGUGGGGAUCGAACAGGAUUAGAUACCCGAGUAGUC
RNAcentral lists this ribosomal RNA (440 nucleotides) under uncultured bacterium. RNAcentral describes it as "partial 16S ribosomal RNA". It matches the Rfam family "Bacterial small subunit ribosomal RNA", at positions 338 to 795 of the family's 1533-position model. The record is from RNAcentral.